Molecule: small nuclear RNA, 102 nt
Organism: Acomys russatus (golden spiny mouse)
Lineage: Eukaryota; Metazoa; Chordata; Mammalia; Rodentia; Muridae
Source: RefSeq, a predicted model, not a curated record
CUGCUUGCAUCAGGAGCACAUGCACUGAAAUUGGAACUACACAGAGAGGACCAGCACGGCCUCUGUGCAAGGAUGCGAGCUCAUGAAGCACUCCAUAGUCUU